UACGUAGGGGGCAAGCGUUGUCCGGAAUCAUUGGGCGUAAAGCGCGCGUAGGCGGCCCUGUAAGUCCGUUGUGAAAGUCAAAGGCUCAACCUUUGAAAGCCGAUGGAUACUGCAGGGCUAGAGUCCGGAAGAGGCGAGUGGAAUUCCUGGUGUAGCGGUGGAAUGCGCAGAUAUCAGGAGGAACACCGGUGGCGAAGGCGGAUCUCUGGGCCAUUACUGACGCUGAGGAGCGAAAGCGUGGGGAGCGAACAGG
Molecule: ribosomal RNA, 253 nt
Filed under: uncultured bacterium
Lineage: Bacteria
Description: partial 16S ribosomal RNA
Rfam family: Bacterial small subunit ribosomal RNA
Source: RNAcentral